RNAcentral lists this ribosomal RNA (465 nucleotides) under Vreelandella stevensii. Its description in RNAcentral is "partial 16S ribosomal RNA". It matches the Rfam family "Bacterial small subunit ribosomal RNA", at positions 338 to 795 of the family's 1533-position model. The record is from RNAcentral. Lineage: Bacteria; Pseudomonadati; Pseudomonadota; Gammaproteobacteria; Oceanospirillales; Halomonadaceae.
CCUACGGGCUGCUGCAGUGGGGAAUAUUGGACAAUGGGCGAAAGCCUGAUCCAGCCAUGCCGCGUGUGUGAAGAAGGCCUUCGGGUUGUAAAGCACUUUCAGUGGGGAAGAAAGCCUUGGGGCUAAUACCCUCGAGGAAGGACAUCACCCACAGAAGAAGCACCGGCUAACUCCGUGCCAGCAGCCGCGGUAAUACGGAGGGUGCGAGCGUUAAUCGGAAUUACUGGGCGUAAAGCGCGCGUAGGCGGUCUGAUAAGCCGGUUGUGAAAGCCCCGGGCUCAACCUGGGAACGGCAUCCGGAACUGUCAGGCUAGAGUGCAGGAGAGGAAGGUAGAAUUCCCGGUGUAGCGGUGAAAUGCGUAGAGAUCGGGAGGAAUACCAGUGGCGAAGGCGGCCUUCUGGACUGACACUGACGCUGAGGUGCGAAAGCGUGGGUAGCAAACAGGAUUAGAUACCCUAGUAGUC